Molecule: transfer RNA, 71 nt
Filed under: Imtechella halotolerans K1
Lineage: Bacteria; Pseudomonadati; Bacteroidota; Flavobacteriia; Flavobacteriales; Flavobacteriaceae
Also listed under: 1 other name
Description: Flavobacterium sp. K1 tRNA
Rfam family: tRNA
About the family: Transfer RNA (tRNA) molecules are approximately 80 nucleotides in length.
Source: Rfam by way of RNAcentral
UGGCUCAUGGUGUAACGGUAGCACUACAGAUUUUGGUUCUGUCUGUCGGGGUUCGAAUCCCUGUGAGCCAA